GACGAACCGUGCGAACGUUAUUCGGAAUCACUGGGCUUAAAGCGCGUGUAGGCGGAGCGACGCGUCGGAUGUUGAAAGCCCCCGGCUCAACCGGGGAACGGGCACCGAAACGGUCGUUCUGGAGGGGCGUAGGGGGAGCUGGAACUUCCGGUGGAGCGGUGAAAUGCGUUGAGAUCGGAAGGAACGCCCGUGGCGAAAGCGAGCUCCUGGACGCCAACUGACGCUGAGACGCGAAAGCCAGGGGAGCGAACGGG
This 254-nucleotide ribosomal RNA is filed under the name uncultured bacterium. RNAcentral describes it as "partial 16S ribosomal RNA". It matches the Rfam family "Bacterial small subunit ribosomal RNA", at positions 524 to 776 of the family's 1533-position model. The record is from RNAcentral.